This 253-nucleotide ribosomal RNA is filed under the name uncultured bacterium. Its description in RNAcentral is "partial 16S ribosomal RNA". It matches the Rfam family "Bacterial small subunit ribosomal RNA", at positions 524 to 776 of the family's 1533-position model. The record is from RNAcentral.
UACGGAGGGUGCAAGCGUUAUCCGGAAUCACUGGGUUUAAAGGGUGCGUAGGCGGCUUGAUAAGUCAGAGGUGAAAGCUAGCAGCUUAACUGUUAAAUUGCCUUUGAUACUGUUGAGCUUGAAUCAGGUUGAGGUAGGCGGAAUGUGACAUGUAGCGGUGAAAUGCAUAGAUAUGUCAUAGAACACCAAUUGCGUAGGCAGCUUGCUGGGCUUGAAUUGACGCUGAGGCACGAAAGCGUGGGGAUCAAACAGG